This 1354-nucleotide ribosomal RNA is filed under the name uncultured bacterium. Its description in RNAcentral is "bacterial SSU rRNA". It matches the Rfam family "Bacterial small subunit ribosomal RNA", at positions 49 to 1399 of the family's 1533-position model. The record is from RNAcentral.
UAACACAUGCAAGUCGAGCGAAGCGAUUUUGAGGAAGUUUUCGGAUGGAAUCGAAAUUGACUUAGCGGCGGACGGGUGAGUAACACGUGGGUAAUCUGCCUUAUACAGGGGGAUAACAGUUAGAAAUGACUGCUAAUACCGCAUAAGCGCACGGGGACGCAUGUUUCUGUGUGAAAAACUCCGGUAGUAUAAGAUGAGCCCGCGUCUGAUUAGCUGGUUGGUGGGGUAACGGCCUACCAAGGCGACGAUCAGUAGCCGGCCUGAGAGGGUGAACGGCCACAUUGGGACUGAGACACGGCCCAAACUCCUACGGGAGGCAGCAGUGGGGAAUAUUGCACAAUGGGGGAAACCCUGAUGCAGCGACGCCGCGUGAGUGAAGAAGUAUUUCGGUAUGUAAAGCUCUAUCAGCAGGGAAGAAAAAAGACGGUACCUGACUAAGAAGCCCCGGCUAACUACGUGCCAGCAGCCGCGGUAAUACGUAGGGGGCAAGCGUUAUCCGGAUUUACUGGGUGUAAAGGGAGCGUAGACGGCGCGGCAAGUCUGAAGUGAAAGGCAGGGGCUUAACCCCUGAACUGCUUUGGAAACUGCCAUGCUAGAGUGCUGGAGAGGUAAGUGGAAUUCCUAGUGUAGCGGUGAAAUGCGUAGAUAUUAGGAGGAACACCAGUGGCGAAGGCGGCUUACUGGACAGUAACUGACGUUGAGGCUCGAAAGCGUGGGGAGCAAACAGGAUUGGAUACCCUGGUAGUCCACGCCGUAAACGAUGAAUAAUAGGUGUUGGUGGGCAAAGCCCAUAUGUACCGCCGCAAACGCAAUAAGUAUUCCAAAUGGGGAAUACGUUUGCAAGAAUGCAACUCAAAGGAAAUGGACGGGGGACACGCACAAGCGGCGGAGCAUGUGGUUUAAUUCGAAGCAACACGAAGAACCUUACCAAGUCUUGACAUCUCCCUGACCGGCGAGUAAAGUCAACAUAUCCUUCGGGACAGGGAAGACAGGUGGUGCAUGGUUGUCGUCAGCUCGUGUCGUGAGAUGUUGGAUUAAGUCCCACAACGAGAACAACCCUUAUUCUUAGCAGCCAGCAGGUAAAGCUGGGCACUCUGGGAAGACUACCAGGGAUAACCUGGAGGAAGGUGGGGAUGACGUCAAAUCAUCAUGCCCCUUACGAUUUGGGCUACACACGUGCUACAAUGGCGUAAACAAAGGGAGGCAAAGGAGUAAUCUGGAGCAAACCCCAAAAAUAACGUCUCAGUUCGGACUGUGGUCUGCAACCCGACCACACGAAGCUGGAAUCGCUAGUAAUCGCGAAUCAGAAUGUCGCGGUGAAUACGUUCCCGGGUCUUGCACUCACCGCCCGUCA